GGAUUUGUACCGGUACACUUUCCCGUGUACCGGUACACUUUGGCAGAUUUUGAGCAGUUUGAACUGCAAGGGUGUUUUUGCAAUUGUGGCUAUUCUAUAUAGCACCCCACGCCCCUAGGGCUCUCCCUGAGCCAUCCACCAGCAGAGGAAGAGGUAGGAGAUUUCUCCAUUUGAUUUCCUUCCCUAUUUCUUGGAUUAUUAGAGGAAUAAUCACCUUUUUUUGCUUCUUUUGGUGCUUUGGUGAACUAUCCACCAUGAAUGAAGCUUGGACUUUGG
This 276-nucleotide long non-coding RNA is filed under the name Ananas comosus (pineapple). RNAcentral describes it as "long non-coding RNA (ACOM_LNC012116)". Lineage: Eukaryota; Viridiplantae; Streptophyta; Magnoliopsida; Poales; Bromeliaceae. The record is from RNAcentral.